CACCAACCUAGAUCUAGGUCACAAAGUGGCAGCAUAGCAGAGAGAAGUGUGGAGGUUUAAUUAGCAUUCCUGAGGCAUUGUGGGGUUCUUCUUGGGAUGUUUACCCAUUAGGAAAUAAGUGGACAACACACAGAACCUUGUAAGAGUGGAAGGAAUCCUGUAGCAGAGGCUGGAGGAAGAGGUUCCUCAACCCACCUCUAGAUAAGACUGAUUAUGACAUCAGCUACUGGGAAAGCCAGGCCUCUAAAAGAUUGGUCCAGUGAUGGAAGAGCUCCAGAAGUCAAGGUCCAGGAUGUGACCACGAAGACUGAACAAUGUGACCCGUGUGCAGUGAACUGAAGGCAGACGGAACAGGACAAGAGAGAAAUGAAUUGAGGGACUAUCAUGCAAGAUUGACUGUCAAAGCAAAGUUUAAAGUCACCUAAAAUAAAAGUCCAAUUUAACCAGAUGGAAAAGACUAUGACCAGGCACUAAAAUAUUAGUAAAUGAGCAAGAGUAAUCAGAAAAUCCAUGGAUGACUAUGAAGGGGCUGCAAAGGGCUUGGCAUAAACUGCCAAGGAGCAUAAUUUUUACUCAUAGGAGACAAAAAAUAGUGUAUAAUUCAGAAUGGAGAUCAGAAGAAAGUCAACUCUGAUUGCCAGAUUCAAAGUCCAUGGGAUACUGGUGAACUUGCAGACUUCAAAUGAAAGAGCUUCAGGAGAAAAAUGGAUUUUCAUGGAAGAAUCAACUUUCAGUUAAUGUACAGAAGAGGAAAGGAUGUUAAAUGAAGAGCUCAUAAAUGAGGAAGAAGAGUUUCCUUAAUGUUUUCUUUUAGUAGUUUCAUAGUUUGAGGUCUCAGAUUUAAGUAUCGAAUCCAUUUUGAUUUGGUUUUUGUAUGUGUUGCGAGAUAAGGGUCUGGUUUAAUUUUUCUGCAUACGGGGAUCCAGUUUUCCCAGCACCAUUUAGAGACUGUCCUUUCCCCAAUAUGUGUUCUUGGCACCUUUGUCAAAAAUGAGUUUACUAUAGAUGUGUGGAUUUCUUUCUGAGCUCUCCAUUCUGUUCCAUUGAUCUAUGUGUUUGUUUUUAUGCUAGUAUCAUGCUGUUUUAGUUACUAUAUAGAUCUACAGUAUAAUUUGAUGUCAGGUAUUGUACCUUGCACAUUUAAAAAUAACUUUAAAAGCAUAAUUGGAAUGUUUGUAACACAAAGAAAUGAUAAAUGCUUGAGGCAAUGGAUAUCCCAUUUACCCUGAUGUGAUUAUUACACAUCGUAUG
RNAcentral lists this long non-coding RNA (1251 nucleotides) under Homo sapiens (human). Its description in RNAcentral is "HSALNT0102547". Lineage: Eukaryota; Metazoa; Chordata; Mammalia; Primates; Hominidae. The record is from RNAcentral.